Molecule: ribosomal RNA, 453 nt
Filed under: uncultured Porphyromonadaceae bacterium
Lineage: Bacteria; Pseudomonadati; Bacteroidota; Bacteroidia; Bacteroidales; Porphyromonadaceae
Description: partial 16S ribosomal RNA
Rfam family: Bacterial small subunit ribosomal RNA
Source: RNAcentral
ACGGAAGGCAGCAGUGAGGAAUAUUGGUCAAUGGACGGAAGUCUGAACCAGCCAAGUCGCGUGAAGGAUGAAGGUAUUAUGUAUUGUAAACUUCUUUAGCAGUGGAGUAAUAAGGGGAUCGCGAUCCCUGAUGCAAGUACACUGAGAAUAAGGAUCGGCUAACUCCGUGCCAGCAGCCGCGGUAAUACGGAGGAUCCGAGCGUUAUCCGGAUUUAUUGGGUUUAAAGGGUGCGCAGGCGGCUUUUUAAGUCAGUGGUUAAAUCGUGACGCUCAACGUCAUCACGCCAUUGAUACUGGAGAGCUUGAUUGCGGUCGAGGUUUGCGGAAUUCGUUGUGUAGCGGUGAAAUGCAUAGAUAUGACGAAGAACACCGAUUGCGUAGGCAGCAGACCAGGCCGUAAAUGACGCUCAUGCACGAAAGUGCGGGGAUCUAACAGGAUUAGAUACCCUGGUA